This 172-nucleotide ribosomal RNA is filed under the name uncultured Actinomycetes bacterium. RNAcentral describes it as "uncultured actinobacterium partial 16S ribosomal RNA". It matches the Rfam family "Bacterial small subunit ribosomal RNA", at positions 335 to 524 of the family's 1533-position model. The record is from RNAcentral. Lineage: Bacteria; Bacillati; Actinomycetota; Actinomycetes.
ACUCCUACGGGAGGCAGCAGCAGGGAAUCUUGCGCAAUGGGCGAAAGCCUGACGCAGCAACGCCGCGUGGGGGAUGAAGGCCUUCGGGUUGUAAACCCCUUUCAGGAGGGAAGAAAUUGACGGUACCUCCAAAAGAAGCCCCGGCCAACUACGUGCCAGCAGCCGCGGUAAU